AAACUUUCAACAACGGAUCUCUUGGUUCUGGCAUCGAUGAAGAACGCAGCGAAAUGCGAUAAGUAAUGUGAAUUGCAGAAUUCAGUGAAUCAUCGAAUCUUUGAACGCACAUUGCGCCCUCUGGUAUUCCGGAGGGCAUGCCUGUUCGAGCGU
Molecule: ribosomal RNA, 153 nt
Filed under: Stenocarpella macrospora
Lineage: Eukaryota; Fungi; Ascomycota; Sordariomycetes; Diaporthales; Diaporthaceae
Description: 5.8S ribosomal RNA
Rfam family: 5.8S ribosomal RNA
About the family: 5.8S ribosomal RNA (5.8S rRNA) is a component of the large subunit of the eukaryotic ribosome. It is transcribed by RNA polymerase I as part of the 45S precursor that also contains 18S and 28S rRNA. Functionally, it is thought that 5.8S rRNA may be involved in ribosome translocation.
Source: RNAcentral